This 720-nucleotide ribosomal RNA is filed under the name Triticum aestivum (bread wheat). RNAcentral describes it as "partial small subunit ribosomal RNA". Lineage: Eukaryota; Viridiplantae; Streptophyta; Magnoliopsida; Poales; Poaceae. The record is from RNAcentral.
AUGGAGUCGAGGAAGCCGCAGCGCUCCGCUCUCGUCGACAGCUAUGUGGUCCCCGGCGACGUCAUCCUGGACCUCGCCGACAUGACCAACCAGACCAUCAAGCUCGGCGCCGGUCUGCGCCAGGAUUGUGACACUAUCCAGGCAACUAGUGCUGGGAGGCUUCGACUGUCCAAGCCCAACAAGUACUGGGUGGAGAACUCCCAGAAGAGGUAUGUACCUUCUGUAGAAGAUACGGUUCUUGGUAUUGUAGUUGACACCAAACCAGAUAACUUCUUGGUGGACAUAAAGGGGCCUAAUUUGGCCUUUUUACCAGUUCUUUCAUUUGAAGGUGGUACAAGGAGGAACAUACCAAAGUUUGAGAUUGGUACAUUAAUAUAUGCCAGAAUGGUGAAAGCAAAUAGCAUUAUGAAUCCAGAGCUUUCAUGCAUGGAUGCAAGUGGAAAAGCUGCUGAAUUUGGUCAACUGAAAAGUGGUUAUACGUUUGAAACAUCAACUGGCCUGGCAAGAAUGCUUUUAAGUUCCCCAACAUGUCCACUUCUAGAGGCCCUUGGGAAAAAACUAUCAUUUGAGAUAGCUGUUGGACUGAAUGGUCGAGUAUGGGUGAAUGCUCCUUCGCCAAGUAAUGUCAUUGUUGUAUCAAGCGCAAUAAAAGAAUCAGAAUCUUAUAGUCGCUUACAACAAAAAAGCAUGGUGGAAAAACUCCUGGCUAAACUGUCAUGA